Bos taurus (domestic cattle) is the source of this 357-nucleotide long non-coding RNA. The record is from Ensembl. Lineage: Eukaryota; Metazoa; Chordata; Mammalia; Artiodactyla; Bovidae.
CACUAUUCUCACAACUUAGAAAAAUUCGGUAAUUUUACCUAAAAAUCAGUUUAAAUAUCCCCAAUUGUUCCCCUAACAAUUAGAUACCUGAUGCGGUAUCUAGUCAAGGUUCAUGGCACUCAUUUGGUUAUUAGUCUUUUUAAUAUAGAAUAAUUACCUACUAUUUAUGUUUUCAAUAACACUGAUUUUUUUUUUUAAGAGAGUCCAAGCCAAGUGUCUUGUAGGAUAUCCCACAUUCUGGAUUUGUCUGUUUCCUCAUGGCUCAAUUCAGUUGUCCUGGUGAGUGAAAAACUGCAAUGACCUUUAGAGAAAAGGACUCAAACACUGUAGCAAUGAAGAGUUUGGACUUGCCAUCUG